GCGACCAUGGCGGAAUUGGUAUACGCGCAGCACUAAGGAUGCUGUGGAUUUAUCCUUGUGGGUUCAAGUCCCACUGGUCGCACCA
RNAcentral lists this transfer RNA (85 nucleotides) under Alphaproteobacteria bacterium. RNAcentral's name for it is "tRNA-Leu". It matches the Rfam family "tRNA". Rfam says of the family: Transfer RNA (tRNA) molecules are approximately 80 nucleotides in length. Their secondary structure includes four short double-helical elements and three loops (D, anti-codon, and T loops). Further hydrogen bonds mediate the characteristic L-shaped molecular structure. tRNAs have two regions of fundamental functional importance: the anti-codon, which is responsible for specific mRNA codon recognition, and the 3' end, to which the tRNAs corresponding amino acid is attached (by aminoacyl-tRNA synthetases). tRNAs cope with the degeneracy of the genetic code in two manners: having more than one tRNA (with a specific anti-codon) for a particular amino acid; and 'wobble' base-pairing, i.e. permitting non-standard base-pairing at the 3rd anti-codon position. Lineage: Bacteria; Pseudomonadati; Pseudomonadota; Alphaproteobacteria. The record is from RNAcentral.